This 1181-nucleotide ribosomal RNA is filed under the name uncultured bacterium. RNAcentral's name for it is "bacterial SSU rRNA". It matches the Rfam family "Bacterial small subunit ribosomal RNA", at positions 101 to 1310 of the family's 1533-position model. The record is from RNAcentral.
AACGGGUGAGGAACACGUGAAGAAUCUGCCCUCAUUUGGGAUACUUCGGGAAACGGAGCUAAUACCGAAUAUGAAACAUAAGUGGCAUCACUGAGUUUGAAAGUUUUCGAUGAGGGAUGACUUCGCGGCUAUCAGCUAGUUGGUGAGGUAACGGCUCACCAAGGCAACGACGGGUAGCCGGCCUGAGAGGGCGAACGGCCACACUGGGACUGAGACACGGCCCAGACUCCUACGGGAGGCAGCAGUAGGGAAUAUUGCGCAAGGAGGAAACUCUGACGCAGCGACGCCGCGUGCGGGAUGAAGGCCUUCGGGUUGUAAACCGCUUUCAGUAGGGAAGAAGCGAAAGUGACGGUACCUACAAAAGAAGCACCGGCUAACUAUGUGCCAGCAGCCGCGGUAAUACAUAGGGUGCAAGCGUUGUCCGGAAUUAUUGGGCGUAAAGAGCUCGUAGGUCGUUUGUUACGUCGGAUGUGAAAAUCUGAGGCUCAACCUCAGACCUGCAUUCGAUACGGGCAAACUAGAGUUUGGUAGGGGAGACUGGAAUUCCUGGUGUAGCGGUGGAAUGCGCAGAUAUCAGGAGGAACACCAACGGCGAAGGCAGGUCUCUGGGCCAAUACUGACACUGAGGAGCGAAAGCGCGGGGAGCGAACAGGAUUAGAUACCUGGUAGUCCGCGCCGUAAACGGUGGGUACUAGUUGUGGGAACCUUCCACGGUUUCUGCGACGACGCUAACGCAUUAAGUACCCCGCCUGGGGAGUACGAUCGCAAGAUUAAAACUCAAAGGAAUUGACGGGGCCCCGCACAAGCAGCGGAGCAUGCGGCUCAAUUCGAUGCAACGCGAAGAACCUUACCAAGGCUUGACAUAUAGCGAAAAGUGGCAGAGAUGUCAUGUCCGCAAGGGCGCUAUACAGGUGGUGCAUGGUUGUCGUCAGCUCGUGUCGUGAGAUGUUGGGUUAAGUCCCGCAACGAGCGCAACCCUCGUUCUGUGUUACCAGCAUUUAGUUGGGGACUCACAGGAGACUGCCGGGGUUAACUCGGAGGAAGGUGGGGAUGACGUCAAAUCCUCAUGCCCCUUAUGUCUUGGGCUGCACGCAUGCUACAAUGGCCGGUACAGAGGGCUGCGAAACCGUAAGGUGGAGCGAAUCCCAAAAGCCGGUCUCAGUUCAGAUUGAGGUCUUAUG